This 254-nucleotide ribosomal RNA is filed under the name uncultured bacterium. Its description in RNAcentral is "partial 16S ribosomal RNA". It matches the Rfam family "Bacterial small subunit ribosomal RNA", at positions 524 to 776 of the family's 1533-position model. The record is from RNAcentral.
UACGGAGGAUCCGAGCGUUAUCCGGAAUAACUGGGCGUAAAGAGUUGCGUAGGUGGUUCUGUAAGUUAGUUCUUAAAGACUGAGGCUUAACCUCAGGAAUGGAACUGAUACUGCAGAACUUGAGUAUGGAAGAGGUGGCUGGAAUUCCCGGUGUAGGAGUGAAAUCCGUAGAUAUCGGGAGGAACACCAAUGGCGUAGGCAGGCCACUGGUCCAUUACUGACACUAAGGCACGAAAGCGUGGGGAGCGAACGGG